This 1520-nucleotide ribosomal RNA is filed under the name uncultured prokaryote. RNAcentral describes it as "partial 16S ribosomal RNA". It matches the Rfam family "Bacterial small subunit ribosomal RNA". The record is from RNAcentral.
AGAGUUUGACCUGGCUCAGGAUGAACGCUAGCGGCAGGCUUAACACAUGCAAGUCGAGGGGUAACAUUGAUGCUUGCAUCAGAUGACGACCGGCGCACGGGUGAGUAACGCGUAUACAAUCUACCUUUAACAGGAGGAUACCCUUUCUUUAGAAAUGAAGAAUAACACUCCAUGGUAAUAUUAAAUCGCAUGAUUUAGUAUUUAAACAUUCAUGGGUUAAAGAUGAGUAUGCGUCCUAUUAGCUAGAUGGUAAGGUAACGGCUUACCAUGGCAACGAUAGGUAGGGGCCCUGAGAGGGGGAUCCCCCACACUGGUACUGAGACACGGACCAGACUCCUACGGGAGGCAGCAGUGAGGAAUAUUGGACAAUGGGCGAGAGCCUGAUCCAGCCAUGCCGCGUGCAGGAAGACGGCCCUAUGGGUCUUAAACUGCUUUUAUACGGGAAGAAAAAAGGGCACGUGUGCCCUACUGACGGUACCGUAAGAAUAAGGACCGGCUAACUCCGUGCCAGCAGCCGCGGUAAUACGGAGGGUCCGAGCGUUAUCCGGAAUUAUUGGGUUUAAAGGGUCCGUAGGCGGGCCAUUAAGUCAGUGGUGAAAGUUUGCAGCUCAACUGUAAAAUUGCCUUUGAUACUGAUGGUCUUGAGUUAUGGUGAAGUUGCCGGAAUAUGUAGUGUAGCGGUGAAAUGCAUAGAUAUUACAUAGAACACCGAUUGCGAAGGCAGGUGACUAACCAUAUACUGACGCUGAUGGACGAAAGCGUGGGGAGCGAACAGGAUUAGAUACCCUGGUAGUCCACGCCGUAAACGAUGGAUACUAGCUGUCCGCUGCCUUGAGCAGUGGGCGGCCAAGCGAAAGUGAUAAGUAUCCCACCUGGGGAGUACGUUCGCAAGAAUGAAACUCAAAGGAAUUGACGGGGGCCCGCACAAGCGGUGGAGCAUGUGGUUUAAUUCGAUGAUACGCGAGGAACCUUACCAGGGCUUAAAUGUAGAUUGACAGGGCUAGAGAUAGCUUUUCCUUCGGGCAAUUUACAAGGUGCUGCAUGGUUGUCGUCAGCUCGUGCCGUGAGGUGUCAGGUUAAGUCCUAUAACGAGCGCAACCCCUGCCGUUAGUUGCCAGCAUGUAAAGAUGGGGACUCUAACGGGACUGCCGGUGCAAACCGUGAGGAAGGUGGGGAUGACGUCAAAUCAUCACGGCCCUUACGUCCUGGGCCACACACGUGCUACAAUGGCCGGUACAGAGAGCAGCCAUGUUGCAAGACAGAGCGAAUCUAUAAAACCGGUCACAGUUCGGAUCGGGGUCUGCAACUCGACCCCGUGAAGCUGGAAUCGCUAGUAAUCGGAUAUCAGCCAUGAUCCGGUGAAUACGUUCCCGGGCCUUGUACACACCGCCCGUCAAGCCAUGGAAGCCGGGAGUGCCUGAAGUCCGUCACCGCAAGGAGCGGCCUAGGGCAAGAUCGGUAACUAGGGCUAAGUCGGAACAAGGUAGCCGUCCCGGAAGGUGCGGCUGGAUCACCUCCUU